GGGCCGUUAGCUCAGUUGGUUAGAGCAUCUGCCUUUUAAGCAGGGGGUCCCGGGUUCGAGUCCCGGACGGCCCACCA
Molecule: transfer RNA, 77 nt
Filed under: Holophagales bacterium
Lineage: Bacteria; Pseudomonadati; Acidobacteriota; Holophagae; Holophagales
Description: tRNA-Lys
Rfam family: tRNA
About the family: Transfer RNA (tRNA) molecules are approximately 80 nucleotides in length. Their secondary structure includes four short double-helical elements and three loops (D, anti-codon, and T loops). Further hydrogen bonds mediate the characteristic L-shaped molecular structure. tRNAs have two regions of fundamental functional importance: the anti-codon, which is responsible for specific mRNA codon recognition, and the 3' end, to which the tRNAs corresponding amino acid is attached (by aminoacyl-tRNA synthetases). tRNAs cope with the degeneracy of the genetic code in two manners: having more than one tRNA (with a specific anti-codon) for a particular amino acid; and 'wobble' base-pairing, i.e. permitting non-standard base-pairing at the 3rd anti-codon position.
Source: RNAcentral